RNAcentral lists this ribosomal RNA (333 nucleotides) under uncultured Prevotella sp. RNAcentral describes it as "partial 16S ribosomal RNA". The record is from RNAcentral. Lineage: Bacteria; Pseudomonadati; Bacteroidota; Bacteroidia; Bacteroidales; Prevotellaceae.
GGAGUUUGGUCCGUGUCUCAGUACCAAUGUGGGGGACCUUCCUCUCAGAACCCCUACUGAUCGUUGCCCCGGUGGGCCGUUACCCCGCCGGCAAGCUAAUCAGACGCAUCCCCAUCCCUUACCGAUGAAUCUUUGCUCCUCAUCUGAUGCCAUCAAAGGAGAACAUAGAGUAUUAAUCCGACUUUCGCCGGGCUAUCCUCUAGUAAGGGGAAGGUUGGAUACGCGUUACUCACCCGUUCGCCACUAGGAUUCUGCCGAAACAAAAUCCCCGUUCGACUUGCAUGUGUUAGGCACGCCGCCAGCGUUCGUCCUCGAGCCAGGAGUCAAACUACU